AUGCCUCCUCUUUUGUUGUUCAAGUACCUCCGGGUGUUCAGAAUUGAUCAGGACAGUUCUAGUGGAGUCAUGGGGACCCUUGACCUCACCGCUAUUUGCCAAUUGUUUCAGCUGAGGUACUUGUAUGUUUCAGUAUCACGUCUUGUACAGCUCCCAGCUGAACUUAAAGGGCUUAUUUACUUGGAGACGCUGGCCAUACCUUUUGCAGAUCUCAAGAGCAUCCCCUCAGAUAUAGUUCAUUUGUCUCGCUUGUCCUAUCUUAGUUUUGGUAUGGAAGAAGGGCUGCCUGAAUGGAUUGGGGAUAUGAAAUCACUACGCAGUCUGAUAAUAUAUCGUAUGGUGACCAAUCCGAGCAUGAAGGCCAUUAUGGGUCUUGGCGAGCUUACCGAUCUUAGGGAACUGGUAAUCUAUGUGGGGUCUUUUGAGAAGCCAAAACUUGAUGCUUUGGCCUACUCCAUUGGACAGCUUUGUAACCUCAAAUAUCUUCGAUUCUAUGGGUCUCAUUCUAAAGUCGAUAACCAGCUGGGCUCAUUAUCCAAUCCUUUUCAACAUAUCGAGGAAUGUCGCGGGUCUGUAUUGAAUUUCCAUAGAGUUCCCAAAUGGAUGGGUGGUCUCCAUUGCCUUCGUAUCCUCGAUCUGCGUGUGGAGGAGACGUCAACUGAGGAGGUUCAUCUUCUUGGGGAGCUUCCCUCCCUCGUCAAACUUGAAUUUAGUUUGUCGCAUCUCCCUAAAGAAAGGGUUAUAUUGGGAAGAGGACUAUUCCUGGUUCUGGAGCACUUCACAUUUCACUCAAAGGAAGACAUUAUGGCAUACCUGGGAUUUCAGGCAGGGGCCAUGCCCAACUUACGAACCCUCGCUCUCAAUAGCGCGGAGUGGGGUGGCAGUAUACCAGUCGGCAUGGAGCACCUGUUAUGCCUCCAGAAGAUCAAACUGUAUCAGAAUUACUCUCGUGAUGCAACCAUGGUUUCUGCGUUCCGGGAUGCCUUAUCAGUGCACCCAAACCGCCCUUCUGUUGAAUAG
RNAcentral lists this ribosomal RNA (1020 nucleotides) under Triticum aestivum (bread wheat). RNAcentral describes it as "partial small subunit ribosomal RNA". The record is from RNAcentral. Lineage: Eukaryota; Viridiplantae; Streptophyta; Magnoliopsida; Poales; Poaceae.